RNAcentral lists this ribosomal RNA (288 nucleotides) under uncultured Cellulomonas sp. Its description in RNAcentral is "partial 16S ribosomal RNA". It matches the Rfam family "Bacterial small subunit ribosomal RNA", at positions 1098 to 1382 of the family's 1533-position model. Lineage: Bacteria; Bacillati; Actinomycetota; Actinomycetes; Micrococcales; Cellulomonadaceae. The record is from RNAcentral.
GCGACCACCCGUCCUAUGUUGCCAGCGGGUCAUGCCGGGGACUCAUGGGAGACUGCCGGGGUCAAACUCGGAGGAAGGUGGGGAUGACGUCAAAUCAUCAUGCCCCUUAUGUCUUGGGCUUCACGCAUGCUACAAUGGCCGGUACAAAGGGCUGCGAUACCGCGAGGUGGAGCGAAUCCCAGAAAGCCGGUCUCAGUUCGGAUUGGGGUCUGCAACUCGACCCCAUGAAGUCGGAGUCGCUAGUAAUCGCAGAUCAGCAACGCUGCGGUGAAUACGUUCCCGGGCCUU